Molecule: non-coding RNA, 26 nt
Filed under: Homo sapiens (human)
Lineage: Eukaryota; Metazoa; Chordata; Mammalia; Primates; Hominidae
Source: RNAcentral
UGCAGAGCUAUGUGGUGUUGUGGAGC